Sinocyclocheilus rhinocerous is the source of this 567-nucleotide long non-coding RNA. RefSeq lists it as uncharacterized. The record is from RefSeq and is a predicted model, not a curated record. The transcript is spliced from 2 exons. Lineage: Eukaryota; Metazoa; Chordata; Actinopteri; Cypriniformes; Cyprinidae.
UUCUGUAUUCUCUGAGCACAGUGACUGAGGUGAACAUGAUCUAGGUCCUGUUACUGGCAAAGUACUCUGAUGGAAUAAUGCAAUGAAAUGAGGUACAGGUGAGUCAGGGGACAGUGGUCUAAUCUCAAUCUCUGAUAUUAUAGACUGCGGAGAGUCAGAUCUUUGCUCUGGAUAAAGGUCGGACUGACACAAUUCAUUUUCAACAUCCAAAGUGACUGAUUCUGGAGUGGAUGGUCGAGAGCCUGUAAAUGGCAUGAUAAAUGUGUGUGUGGCUAUUGUGAACUCAGGAAUAGGUGAAUCAGGGGAAAGAGGUCUGUUUUCAUUAAGUGAUGUGAUUGACUCCAAAGAGGAUCUUCUAAGAUCAAUCACCAAGUCAUCAAAUACAUCGGCCUGCAUAUAAAUUUCUGAUAGCACUGAUUCAGGGGAUAUUGAUGUGUAACCUGUUACCAUUGUUGGUUCAAAAUGAAAGUUAUAAUAUUGAGAUAUUGGAGAAUCAGGGGAUAAAGAUCUAAAGUCAGGUCUUUCAUCAUUUACAGAUUCUGUUGAUUCUGGAGAAGAAUCUAGCGU